This 259-nucleotide ribosomal RNA is filed under the name uncultured bacterium. Its description in RNAcentral is "partial 16S ribosomal RNA". It matches the Rfam family "Bacterial small subunit ribosomal RNA", at positions 793 to 1055 of the family's 1533-position model. The record is from RNAcentral.
GUCCACGCCGUAAACGAUGAUUACUCGAUGUGUGCGAUACACUGUACGCGUCUAAGCGAAAGCAUUAAGUAAUCCACCUGGGGAGUACGAUCGCAAGAUUGAAACUCAAAGGAAUUGACGGGGGCCCGCACAAGCGGAGGAGCAUGUGGUUUAAUUCGAUGAUACGCGAGGAACCUUACCUGGGUUUGAAUGCUUUUUGACAACCCCUGAAAGGGGGUCUCUCUUCGGAGCAAAUUGCAAGGUGCUGCAUGGCUGUCGU